Molecule: non-coding RNA, 69 nt
Organism: Ictidomys tridecemlineatus (thirteen-lined ground squirrel)
Lineage: Eukaryota; Metazoa; Chordata; Mammalia; Rodentia; Sciuridae
Source: Rfam
GGGGUUGUGGCUCAGAGGUAGAGCGUUCACCUACCAUGCGUAAGGCACUGGGUUCGAUUCUCAGCACCA